UGUCGUUGUUGUUGCUACUUCUUCUUCUUCGUUGUUAUUGUUGUUGCUGGUUUAUUUUUAUUUGGUUUUGAUCGUGGCUCUCUUUGUUGCUUGCUCCGCUGCUGAUGUGAAGGAGUCGGAGUCGGAGUCGACGUCGAGCUUUGUGGUUGUUCACUCUUACUUCGAUGUGGCUGAGUUGGUGCUCUCUUCCUUCGCGAACUUAUUCUGUCAUUGGUCUUCCCUGUCACCACAAAAGAGAGGUUCAUGGAGGGAGGGAGGGAUCAGGGGAUUGAACGCGCGAGAGAAGUUUGAGGGAUGUGGAAUUGCGGUGUUGGCGUAAUCUGGUUUUUGGAUUUUUUUUCGUUUUGGUAUUCGUGGGUGUGAGCGAGGAGGGGGGGGGGAUGGAGCCGGGUCAGUAGUUUUGAGAGCUUUUAUAGUUUCUUACAGCUUGCGUCAGUUUUGAGCAAUUGAGGGAGUGGCUUUUGAAUGCUGGUUAUUUUUUGGAAAUUUUCGUGUGAAGAGAUGAGAUGAAAUGAGUCUUCCGGUGAAGCGGGAGCACGAGGAGACGGCGGCAGUAGUCGAGGGGGCCAGCACUCGGACUGGGAAGCCGCAACAUGUGGGAGGUGGGAGCGGAGUGAUUAUGGAGUCUGCGUUCGCGUUUGGAGGAGGAGGUGAGUCUCGUUCUACUAAAGUAGCGCGCCAUGGUGAUCGUGGAGUGGACUCUGGAGAGAAGGUAGAGCUUUUCAACAACAGUGCGCAUACGAAUUAUCAACCUGCGACUGAUGGAGGUGGCUCCGGGCCGAUUGAGGAUAUGGUUGCAGAGGGGAAGGAAGUGCAAGUGCAGACACUGAAGAUCAAGCUGAAGGACCUUGGUGGUGGGAGUGCAGAGGGGAAGAGUGAUCGAGAGGGGCGGGAUCCAAGGCGUAUGGAUUUGGAGAGGAAGACAAGUGGCGGGAAGGAUUAUGGGGAUGCGCUAAGGGAGAGUAGUGGCAACAAGGAACUUCUUGGUAAGGUAAAUAUGAAGGGCGAGGAGCAGUUGCUGCAGCAGGGAGGGAGUGGUCGGGAAGUAGGGCAAGAAUUGGUGAUUAACAGUCGGAUGGAAGGAAAUCCUGAAGGUUUGAGGAAAAAGAGCCCUCGCGAGGGCGAAGUUAAAGCAGCCGCGAAGGAUGUGCCGAUGGAUGUGAAGAAGGAAGAGCUGCGUGAGAAGGAGAAAGAGAAGAAGGAUGACACGCUUAGUGAGCGGAAAGAUGGUGUGCUGCCGACAUUACUGCAUCCGCACUUGGAUGCUAAUGCUGAGAAAGAUUAUGAGAGAGAUGAGAAGGAGAGAGAGACGGGCGACAAAGAGAAAGAGAAGAUGCGGGAGCGGGAGCGGUCGCGUGACAAGGAGAAAGAGGCAGUACGCUCGGAGAAACGGGAGAAGAGGGAGAAAGAGCGUGAUCGGGAUUCCCAUUGGCGAGAGCGAGAGGAGCGAGAUGAUAAUCUCGGUGACAAAGCGGAGAAAGAGGAGGGAAAAGGGGUCAAGGUUGAGGACGUGGAGAUGGACAGAAAGCCUGUGCGCGAGGUCGACGAGCGUAAAUUGUUCGAAAAAGAAGUGCGCGAGCGUAUGCGGGAGAGAGAUAGAGAGAAGGAGAGAGAUGAAGAGGGGGAUGGUGAGAAGCGUAAGAAACGGGGUCGCGAGUUGGACAAAGACCGUGAUUCGUUGAGCAAUAUGGACAGUGAACGUCCGGAAGGGGAUAAAGAAAAGGAUGCCGUUCAUGGCUAUGGAGUACAGCAGCGUAAGAGGAUGUUGCGUCCCAGGGGCCAGUCAAAUCCUUCUAACCGAGACCCCCGGUCACGAUUUCGGCCCAAAGACAAUGAAGGGACUCAAGGUAGGGCAGAAAGUUCGUUCAUUACUUACAGAAUUGGAGAAGGGAUGCCGGAACUCGCGAAACUUUGGAAGGAAUACGAGUCUGGUGAACGAAACAGUCCAGACAAUGGGUCGGGUCCUACCGUUGAAAUUCGUAUUCCUGCUGAGCACGCCACUACUAAUAACCGUCAGAUACGGGGUAGUCAGCUAUGGGGAACAGAUAUAUACACAAAUGACUCAGACAUUGUUGCAGUCCUGUUACAUACAGGAUACUACUCACCUUCUCCGUCUCCGCCUCCAAAUUCUAUAUUAGAGCUGCGAGCCACCGUUCGAAUUCUUGAAUCUCAAAAUAUGUACAUGUCUACGCUACGAAAUAGUAUUCGAUCGCGUGCCUGGGGAGGCGGAAGUGGGUGUAGCUACAGCGUUGAGAGGUGCCGAUUAGUGAAGCAAGGAGGGGGUACUGUAGAGCUGGAGCCAUCUUUGACUCGAACUCCUCCAUUUGUCCCAACGCUUGCGCCGGCUGCAUCAGAGCGAACUGUCACCACGAGAGCUGCAUCUUCUAGUGCAUAUCGGCAGCAAAGAUUUAUGCAGGAAGUGACAAUACAAUACAAUCUAUGCAAUGAACCCUGGGCGAAAUACAGCAUGAGCAUCGUGGCUGAUCGUGGACUGAAGAAUUCACAAUACACGUCUGCUCGACUCAAAAAAGGGGAAGUAUUAUAUGUAGAAACCCAGACUCAUAGGUAUGAAUUGGCGUAUGAUGGAGAACGUAUGACGAGUAAUGGAGCAACUACUGCCACCUCUUUCUCUCAAGGCAACUCAGGGACGGAAAAAGGUAAAGAUAAAUGGAGUUUGGGAGUUUGUGACAAAGAACCUAUUUCGCAAAUUUACAAUGGUGAGUUACCGCAUGGGAAUCAUCCAAGUAAUGGACAAACAGGUGGCCAUCACUGCCACCAUAAUAGCGAGCCACAUGAGUACUACAGAUGGUCUAAGUGUAAACGACCUCUGUCGCUAUCGUCCAUGAAACGAAAGGGUGUACCCUUGCCAGGAGAAUUUGUUGAGGUUUUGGAAGAAGGUCUGGGAUGGGAGGAAAUUCAGUGGUCUCCAACGAGUGUGUGGGUCCGGGGAACAGAGUACAUCCUCAGUAGAGCACAAUUCUUUUCUUUUGAGAAGGAUGAUAUGGAGGAAUAGGGACGAAUGUUGUCACAAGUUUUGGUAGAGCACAUCUGCCAUUUGAUUUUCAACGAUCUGCUAAGUGAUGGCAUGAUUCAUACAGGUUGAAUCAUGUCAAGUGAAGACUGUUUUGUCAUAACAGAUGUAUUUACGGGAAAUGGUGUUGGACUAUUGAUGUGGUUGUACUUGCUAUAUGCGAGUAGGACAUGAUGGUAUUAUAAUCUGACUGGGGCUUCACCGAGAAGGAACAAUUCCUUUCAUUUUUCAAGAUCUAAAGAUACACUUACUCUCUGGACAUCCAAAUUUGUACUCUGAACAGUUGAUACCAUUCGAUCGAAGCACAAUCCUCUGACGUUCUACGGUUACCUAUGCACAGUCGAGAAUUGUGCGCCAUUUCAGCACCUAACAGAACUGACACUAGCAAAUUGACCGGUUCACUUGGAAAACCUAAAUGUGAUUUCAUAUGUCUCACAAUAAACAUAUUGCUGGCUAGUUCCAGCACAAUCAAUGGAUAAACAGACAGAUGUAGGGUGUACAGGGAUGUCGGCUGCCUUGUCUGUUACUGAAAACCUUCGAUGUUGAAGCUGCAGCCUAUCCAAAAGCUUUGGUUCAAAGGGAUUUCUGUGACAGCUCUUUUCUCAUGCAAUGGCAACAAACUGUGGGACUGCAAGCGGUUUUUUGUUUCGUUUU
Physcomitrium patens is the source of this 3685-nucleotide RNA transcript. RefSeq lists it as uncharacterized. The record is from RefSeq and is a predicted model, not a curated record. Lineage: Eukaryota; Viridiplantae; Streptophyta; Bryopsida; Funariales; Funariaceae.